ACUACGGGUGGCAGCAGUGAGGAAUAUUGGUCAAUGGGCGGAAGCCUGAACCAGCCAAGUAGCGUGCAGGAUGACGGCCCUACGGGUUGUAAACUGCUUUUAUACGGGAAUAACGCGCCUUACGUGUAGGGCUUUGCAUGUACCGUAUGAAUAAGGACCGGCUAAUUCCGUGCCAGCAGCCGCGGUAAUACGGAGGGUCCGGGCGUUAUCCGGAUUUAUUGGGUUUAAAGGGAGCGUAGGCCGCAUGUCAAGCGUGCUGUGAAAUGUCCGGGCUCAACCCGGGCCUUGCAGCGCGAACUGGCGUGCUUGAGUCCGCGGAAAGCAGGCGGAAUUCGUCGUGUAGCGGUGAAAUGCUUAGAUAUGACGAAGAACCCCGAUUGCGAAGGCAGCUUGCUGCAGCGGAACUGACGCUGAUGCUCGAAAGCGCGGGUAUCGAACAGGAUUAGAUACCCUAGUAGUC
Molecule: ribosomal RNA, 460 nt
Filed under: uncultured bacterium
Lineage: Bacteria
Description: partial 16S ribosomal RNA
Rfam family: Bacterial small subunit ribosomal RNA
Source: RNAcentral